AGAGUUUGAUCAUGGCUCAGAUUGAACGCUGGCGGCAUGCUUUACACAUGCAAGUCGAACGGCAGCACAGGGAGCUUGCUCCCGGGUGGCGAGUGGCGCACGGGUGAGUAAUACAUCGGAACGUGUCCUGUUGUGGGGGAUAACUGCUCGAAAGGGUGGCUAAUACCGCAUGAGACCUGAGGGUGAAANCGGGGGAUCGCAAGACCUCGCGCAAUUGGAGCGGCCGAUGCCCGAUUAGCUAGUUGGUGAGGUAAAGGCUCACCAAGGCGACGAUCGGUAGCUGGUCUGAGAGGACGACCAGCCACACUGGGACUGAGACACGGCCCAGACUCAUACGGGAGGCAGCA
This 347-nucleotide ribosomal RNA is filed under the name uncultured bacterium. RNAcentral's name for it is "bacterial SSU rRNA". It matches the Rfam family "Bacterial small subunit ribosomal RNA", at positions 8 to 353 of the family's 1533-position model. The record is from RNAcentral.